Molecule: ribosomal RNA, 585 nt
Filed under: uncultured bacterium
Lineage: Bacteria
Description: partial 16S ribosomal RNA
Rfam family: Bacterial small subunit ribosomal RNA
Source: RNAcentral
UGGGGAAUUUUGGACAAUGGGCGAAAGCCUGAUCCAGCAAUGCCGCGUGUGUGAAGAAGGCCUUCGGGUUGUAAAGCACUUUUGUCCGGAAAGAAAUCCUUGGCUCUAAUACAGUCGGGGGAUGACGGUACCGGAAGAAUAAGCACCGGCUAACUACGUGCCAGCAGCCGCGGUAAUACGUAGGGUGCAAGCGUUAAUCGGAAUUACUGGGCGUAAAGCGUGCGCAGGCGGUUUGCUAAGACCGAUGUGAAAUCCCCGGGCUCAACCUGGGAACUGCAUUGGUGACUGGCAGGCUAGAGUAUGGCAGAGGGGGUAGAAUUCCACGUGUAGCAGUGAAAUGCGUAGAGAUGUGGAGGAAUACCGAUGGCGAAGGCAGCCCCCUGGGCCAAUACUGACGUUCAUGCACGAAAGCGUGGGGAGCAAACAGGAUUCAGAUACCCUGGUAGUCCACGCCCUAAACGAUGUCAACUAGUUGUUGGGGAUUCAUUUCCUUAGUAACGUAGCUAACGCGUGAAGUUGACCGCCUGGGGAGUACGGUCGCAAGAUUAAAACUUAAAUGAAUUGACGGGGUCAUAGCUGUUUCCU